ACCUGGAAGUGGUUGUUACAUCUCCAUACUAAAUAUUAUACAAGGGAAUGAUAUU
Molecule: small RNA, 55 nt
Filed under: Chaetoceros neogracilis
Lineage: Eukaryota; Bacillariophyta; Thalassiosirophyceae; Chaetocerotales; Chaetocerotaceae
Description: partial Mitochondrion-encoded tmRNA
Source: RNAcentral